ACGCGGGCUGGGUUCAGAACGUCGUGAGACAGUUCGGUCCCUAUCCGGCGCAGGCGUAGGAAAUUUGAGAAGACCUGUCCUUAGUACGAGAGGACCGGGAUGGACGUACCUCUGGUGUACCAGUUGUCCUGCCAAGGGCAUGGCUGGGUAGCUAGGUACGGAAUGGAUAAGCGCUGAAAGCAUCUAAGCGCGAAGCCAACUUCAAGAUAAGAUUUCCCACCGCAAGGGUAAGACCCCAGAAAGACUAUCUGGUUGAUAGGUCGAAGGUGUAAGUGCAGCAAUGUAUUUAGCUUAUCGAUACUAAUAGGUCGAGGACUUGACCA
Molecule: ribosomal RNA, 323 nt
Filed under: Clostridioides difficile
Lineage: Bacteria; Bacillati; Bacillota; Clostridia; Peptostreptococcales; Peptostreptococcaceae
Description: bacterial LSU rRNA
Rfam family: Bacterial large subunit ribosomal RNA
Source: RNAcentral